GAUGAACGCUGGCGGCGUGCCUAAUACAUGCAAGUCGAGCGAACAGACGAGGAGCUUGCUCCUCUGACGUUAGCGGCGGACGGGUGAGUAACACGUGGAUAACCUACCUAUAAGACUGGGAUAACUUCGGGAAACCGGAGCUAAUACCGGAUAAUAUAUUGAACCGCAUGGUUCAAUAGUGAAAGACGGUUUUGCUGUCACUUAUAGAUGGAUCCGCGCCGCAUUAGCUAGUUGGUAAGGUAACGGCUUACCAAGGCGGCGAUGCGUAGCCGACCUGAGAGGGUGAUCGGCCACACUGGAACUGAGACACGGUCCAGACUCCUACGGGAGGCAGCAGUAGGGAAUCUUCCGCAAUGGGCGAAAGCCUGACGGAGCAACGCCGCGUGAGUGAUGAAGGUCUUCGGAUCGUAAAACUCUGUUAUUAGGGAAGAACAAAUGUGUAAGUAACUAUGCACGUCUUGACGGUACCUAAUCAGAAAGCCACGGCUAACUACGUG
This 497-nucleotide ribosomal RNA is filed under the name uncultured bacterium. RNAcentral's name for it is "partial 16S ribosomal RNA". It matches the Rfam family "Bacterial small subunit ribosomal RNA", at positions 28 to 507 of the family's 1533-position model. The record is from RNAcentral.